CUUAGCAACUCUAGACAUAGAAUCAGAAAACAUGAAAUAUAACGUGAGGAUUGACUUUGUAAUAAUGCUAUUGCUGGACAGUUUUGAAGUUGCACAUAUGCAGAUUUGUCAAGGACUGAACGGAACGAUGUGUUGUUUCGGUUACGAGUGGGAUCAGAACCAAUCAAUGUGUAUACCUUGUAAAAAGGGAUAUCAUGGUAAGAAUUGUGACGCCAAAUGCCCACCCCUAUUUUUUGGAUUAGGAUGUCAGUCGCAAUGCAACUGUUCCGACAAAGACUGUGAUUACAUCAGCGGAUGUAGGCAAUUAA
Molecule: long non-coding RNA, 308 nt
Organism: Magallana angulata
Lineage: Eukaryota; Metazoa; Mollusca; Bivalvia; Ostreida; Ostreidae
Exons: 3
Source: RefSeq, a predicted model, not a curated record